UUUUCUUCGUGGUAGAGCUUAAUAAAAAAAAUCCUUCCCAACUCUUAAAUUUAAAUUCUAUGAAAUGUCUAAUAGGAAUCUUUAAAUAUCUAAUUUCUUCGAAUACGUUUGCUUAACCAGACCUUAUAAAAAGGGUAGUUGAUUAAGAAUUAACCAUAGAUUCAUUUCAAAACUUCUAAAUCUUUAAUUAAAAAGUUAAUGUUUUAUUUCCUUCAAAAAUUAAUUAGGAAUUUUUAAUAUUCAGAAAUUUACUAAUUGCAUUUCCAUGACCUAUUUCUAUACAAUUUUUUCGAAAUGUUCUGAAGUCAUUCGCACUUUCUGGUCUUUCUUUUACUCUCGGAGAGAAUUUCCCUCUACUGCCUAUAAUGUAAGUUUUAAUCCAGUCAGCCUCAAUGUUUUGCUAUUCCAUGCAAUUGAAUCAUCCUAUUCAUCAUUCUUAUAGUUGAAGUAACAAUUCAUCCGUUAUCUCACAGAGUCUGGCUCUAUUCUAUCUCAAUCUGCCAUAAAAAAAUGUACAAAUAUUUAAGAUGCGACUAUCUUUUUAAUAAAAUAGUUCAGCCUACUUGAUGAAAUAUUUCGCUAGUUUUGAACUUAUUUUGUUUUUAUUUUUCAUGUUGCAAGUAAACAAAAAAAUUUAAAUGCAAAUUUAUUUUUAAUAUGAACAUAUUUAAAUUGCAAUUGAAUGAUCUGGAGAAAUCGGCAAAAAUAGAGCUAGGAUUGAAUUUUAAGAAAUGUGUUGGAUGAAGCAUUCGGGAUAAAUUAAGUGUUUCAAAAUGAAAUUAUUCAUUUCAAUUGAACGAUUUGAACAAUUUUGAAUCAAUCUUUAUAGUUUUCUAUUUAGAUAUGCUAAACGCAUUAUGAGAAGGAAUAGAUAUGCUAAAAAAACUUGAGGAAAAUAUUGUUGUCUUGAAUAUAUUUUAUUUAAGAGUAAACUUGUUCAUAACAAACUGAGUGAAUAAGUUAUAAAAUUUUGUAUUUUUUUAACUUAUUAACGAUAGAAACAGUCGCCUUAAAAAUGAGCAGACGAUUUCAUAAGAAUAAAUUCGGCUUAAAAACUAUAGUUCAAAAAUUCUAACCGAAAUUGAUUUCGUAAGAUUCGCCACCAUAGCUUGAAUAGAUGCCGUAUUGGAAAGAUUAACGUAAUUUCUUGAAUCGUUUCCAAGUUUUCAGAAUUCCGUAGAAAUCUAUACUUUUGAUAUGCUGAUUGAGUACGGAAGAAGUGUUCGUAAUGUCUGGAUAUUUAGCAGAAGCGGCCUUUUAGCGGUGACAUUGCCACAAUUACAUAGGCGAUACUUGGUAUUGUCUGCUGCAACAGAGAGCAUCAUUACGACUUUUCUGUUUAGUAGUAGCUGGUACAAGCAAAAGGUGAAUUAGGCGAGUAAAUAUAACAAACUUGGAGUUACCUUAAACUUAAAAUGUUUCACUUAUACCGGAAGGUUUCUGUCGAAUUAUGUGAAUUUAUUGUCGAAUACAUUAGAUGCUAAUAAUAGGAACAAUGACACAUCCCUCAAUCUUAGUCUAUGGAAUGACUGCUGUUUCGGUUUGUCACAAAUUCUCUCUACUUGCAAUUGGACGAUUAGGAAACUUUCUCAGAAUGCUAUAGAAGAUAACGGUAAGUUAAACGAAUUUUGACAAUUAUCAUGCCAGAUUAUAGAAUAUAAGCAUUCAAUCUGAUAAUUAAAUUGCAACAUUACUAAUGUGCACAUUAAGUAUGCAUAGGUUAGAAAAUUGACGACCUAUAGUAAUGACCUUUUUGCUGAAUACCAAUCGCCAUGAAAAAGGGUUCCUUGGUCCCCCCCCCCAUGAACUGAACCGACAUCAAGUAUAUUGGAUGCUGAGAAAUACUCACUACAGAUGAUCAACAUAUUGAAAUACAAGUAUAGUAGGCUUCUUAAUUAUAAUACUAAAAUUUCAAAAAACGACAUUCUCUAAUCGUUCUAUUUUUCUAGAAAGCAGGUUCCCAUAAGCUAAUAAAGUUGCAAAUCACAAUUACCUGGAAACGUCUAUCAAAACGGAUGUAACAUUUCCAGCUACUUCUCAACGUAAAUAUCUGAAAUUUAAUCUCUUGCCAUUCUGAGAUCAACUUCUGCAAAUGCAAGAAUAAAAUAAAUGAAUCGCCUGAAAAUGGAGCCAGCAUGCAAAGGCCUUCUGAAUGUCUUCACCAGGAAAAUGUUGCCUACCUUGGAUGGAACCAUUUGAAGUGCUAAAAGAGGACAAGAAAUUUUUCCAGGAAGCAAACCAUUACUACUUGAAACUAUCUAUCAAAACAGAAGCAGAAUUUACAAUUAUUUAUCAACGUAAUAAGACUUGGUUAGUGUUACUGAUAUCCUUCAGAAUAAUUGAGGUUGGAUUAGAUUUUGAUGCAUAGUAACCUUUUGUUCAAUAAAGGGUCCCCAUUUACACUAAAAGUGAGAUUGCUGUCUCCGUUACCACACUUAUUAUGAACCGACAUCUAUUGCGAUGUAUGUUGUGAAAUGCUCACUGCAGAUGACAUUGAAAUGUUGGAAAAUCAAGUAUCCUUUCGUUUCUUAUUUAUAAUAUUGAAAUCACAAAAAUGACAUUCUCUAACCAUUUUAUUUGAUUUUCCAGAAAACAUUGAACUGCAAGGAGGCAAACCAUAAUUACUCGUCAACAUCUAUUAAAACGGAUGCAUAAUUUCUAGCUAUUUCUGAAAAUAGAAAAGCAGAGGAACUGAAGCGCGUGCCAUCCCGAGAUCAUCUUUCGUGAGUAGAGGGACCGAACAAAUCAAUCGCCAGAGCAUGGAAUCAACAUGCGACAGCCUUUUGCAUGUCUCCUCGUCACAAGUAAAAUGUUGCCAGGCCAGAAACCUUUUUAAUGUGCAGAAAUAGAACAAGAAAUAUUUCCAGCGACUACUUCAGUUUCUGACAAAUUCUCUACCAGCAAUCUGGGUGAUCGAGAAAUUUAUUUUCUCGGAAUGGUAUCGUAGAGAUAACGAAAGCAAGUUUUCUGAAGCCAUGCGGAGGCAAACUACAUAUAAUUUAUGUGGAAGCUUCUAUUAAGACAGAAGCGGGCUUUCCAGCUAUUUCUCAACAGAAGAAAGUUACCUGAAUGAUUCUGAAGCGAUAUCGGCAUGUUGCAAGAAUUUCGGUUUUGAUCUAUAGUCAUGAUCUUUUGCUGACUACAGGUUUAUCACUUAUCACCAGAAGAUACUGCUUUCUUGGCUCCACACAUGCUCUGAUCUGACAUCAACUAAGCUGGAUGCUAUGAAAUACUCACUACUGAUGACAAGGCAAAUUUCCAGUAAGCUGCAAGGAGACAAACCACAAUCAUCUGUAAAUAUCCAGCAAAACAGAAGCAGCAUAUCCAGUUAUUUCUCAAUAUGGGAAUCGUCGAAUUUGAAACGCUUGCCAUUCCGAGAUCAACUUCUGCAACUAUAGUGUCUGUAGAAAUCGGUCUAUUGAGAAUGAAUCUACCAUGUGACAGCCUUCUGCAAGUCCUCCUCACCACUAAAAUGUUGCUCUGCUAUAAGCCGCUUCACGUACAGUAACAGAA
This is a long non-coding RNA of Argiope bruennichi, 3513 nucleotides long. RefSeq lists it as uncharacterized. Lineage: Eukaryota; Metazoa; Arthropoda; Arachnida; Araneae; Araneidae. The record is from RefSeq and is a predicted model, not a curated record. The transcript is spliced from 7 exons.